Phascolarctos cinereus (koala) is the source of this 843-nucleotide non-coding RNA. NCBI's taxonomy places the organism in Eukaryota, Metazoa, Chordata, Mammalia, Diprotodontia, Phascolarctidae. The record is from RefSeq and is a predicted model, not a curated record.
GGGAAAAGACACCCAGACCUCAAUUCCAGCUAAUCUCUUGGCAAACUUCAUUUAAAAAAACAGCAAAUCCCAUUUGUCCAAACUCUGCAAAGCUCCAUAAAGAAUCACAGAAUCUGAGAGUUGAAAAAGGACCAUACUGAAAAGGGCCAUCUGAUGUAAUCUGUCUUCCUGAGAAGGAAUCCUCUCUUCAGCAUUCCUGACCAGAGAGGAUUUGGUUGACUACUGCGUCCUGGCUGAAUAACCUGGAAGUAAAAGCUGAGCAUGGAUCUGGAGCAGAUGGAGAGCAUUGGGCACUCUGAAAUGUCACUUGGAUGAUCUGGACUCCAUCUUCAUCUGGAAAGCAUGCUCUGUCAACAUAACUCUGAGUCUUUGUGUGGAUCAAAAGAGAAAAUGAAUACAAAGAUUCCUUGCAAAGAAUAAAAUAGGAAAGUAUUUUUUUCUGUCUAAAUCAAAUAUGACACAUACUUUAUGUGUUCAAGAAGGAGCUAAAUGUUUAUUAGCAAGGCCAGUUUCUUGAUAGGUAGAGUGGGAGAUUGCCUAUUGUGAUUCUAGGGACUUUGGGAAGACUUAAACAGUUGCCCAAAUCAUUCUAUGCAUUGGCUGAUAUUAGAAAUUUCACUAAAGCCUUCAGUUCUGCUUACAAUGUACCUCUUUUCCCUACCCUCCCUCAACCCAAUGCAUAAAACAGUUCAUAAAUUGCUUCAUGGGCAAGUCACCAUGCACAUAGCAGCCUAGCACCUCAAUGUGAAUGAAGCUAGGGGACUGAAGUAUAUGGACACUGACACUUGAGAGGAGCCAGGAGAGGUAAUUAGAAAUGAAAGAGCAGACUAGAGCUAAAAAAAA